GUGCCAGCCGCCGCGGUAAUACGGAGGGUGCAAGCGUUAAUCGGAAUUACUGGGCGUAAAGCGCACGUAGGCGGUAUGUUAAGUUGGAUGUGAAAGCCCCGGGCUCAACCUGGGAAUUGCAUUCAAAACUGGCAUGCUAGAGUAUGUGAGAGGGGGGUAGAAUUCCAAGUGUAGCGGUGAAAUGCGUAGAGAUUUGGAGGAAUACCAGUGGCGAAGGCGGCCCCCUGGCACAAUACUGACGCUCAGGUGCGAAAGCGUGGGGAGCAAACAGGAUUAGAUACCCCUGUAGUCC
Molecule: ribosomal RNA, 292 nt
Filed under: uncultured bacterium
Lineage: Bacteria
Description: partial 16S ribosomal RNA
Rfam family: Bacterial small subunit ribosomal RNA
Source: RNAcentral